UACGUAGGGUGCAAGCGUUAUCCGGAAUUAUUGGGCGUAAAGAGCUCGUAGGCGGGUUGUCGCGUCUGCUGUGAAAACUGGAGGCUCAACCUCCAGCCUGCAGUGGGUACGGGCAGACUAGAGUGCGGUAGGGGAGAUUGGAAUUCCUGGUGUAGCGGUGGAAUGCGCAGAUAUCAGGAGGAACACCGAUGGCGAAGGCAGAUCUCUGGGCCGUAACUGACGCUGAGGAGCGAAAGCAUGGGGAGCGAACAGG
Molecule: ribosomal RNA, 253 nt
Filed under: uncultured bacterium
Lineage: Bacteria
Description: partial 16S ribosomal RNA
Rfam family: Bacterial small subunit ribosomal RNA
Source: RNAcentral